UUGGUCAAAGUGCUCCAGAUUCAAGUAAAAGGCAAAAAGCAAAGGUUUUGAGCACUUAGUCCAGUGAGGACAGUGUGGGCCAGGAGUCGGCCUGACAGUGACAGCCCUCAGCCAGGCCGACGCCACAGCAACGCCGGCAGGAGGGAGCGUCCAGACUCCCCCGGCUCACUUUGCCGUGGGGCCUGCACACCCACGCACGCGUGCGUGGGCCUUCGUGAGGCUUCCAUACUAAGCCAGGAGAGAGAAGGUGACUAAGCUGUGAAGAAAUCAACUGUGCAAACUCCCAUCGCCUACUGAGUCGGCUUGGAAGUCAUUUUGUUUGUGGCAGCCAGAGGCAGCGCAAAAGAAAAGAAGUAAAGUUCCAGACUUUAGAAGGAACCCAACAACAACAAUUAUAAUAACAACACACAGUUUUCCCAAGGCUUCUUGCUACCUGAAGGUGAGCCUGAGCCUGAUCCAACAGUGCACACCUGGCCGUGUCACAUCCAGUAAAUAUUUAUGGCUGGUCACAGGGGAAACUGGCAAAAAUUUUUGUCAGAUCAGAUGAGCUUUAUGGAUGCAAAUGAACACAGACAAUCGCCUUCCAUGUCUUGUUUGAAGCCAACCUCAUCCUUGAGGAACAGAAUAAAGUGCUCUUGCCCCUUGGCCCACAGCACUUCUCUCACGGAGCCGCGCAGAGUUUGCACAGAUCCCACCGCGAUGCUUACUCCCUCUGGAUUAUGAUUACUGACUCCUUCAUCUGCCUUACCCGUUCCAUAUCCUCACAAAAAGAAAUAAAAAUUUUUUUUAAAGUCUUCCUUAGCACUCAGCACCUA
Lemur catta (Ring-tailed lemur) is the source of this 815-nucleotide long non-coding RNA. RefSeq lists it as uncharacterized. The record is from RefSeq and is a predicted model, not a curated record. The transcript is spliced from 4 exons. NCBI's taxonomy places the organism in Eukaryota, Metazoa, Chordata, Mammalia, Primates, Lemuridae.